Molecule: ribosomal RNA, 496 nt
Filed under: uncultured bacterium
Lineage: Bacteria
Description: partial 16S ribosomal RNA
Rfam family: Bacterial small subunit ribosomal RNA
Source: RNAcentral
GAUGAACGCUGGCGGCGUGCCUAAUACAUGCAAGUCGAGCGAACAGACGAGGAGCUUGCUCCUCUGACGUUAGCGGCGGACGGGUGAGUAACACGUGGAUAACCUACCUAUAAGACUGGGAUAACUUCGGGAAACCGGAGCUAAUACCGGAUAAUAUAUUGAACCGCAUGGUUCAAUAGUGAAAGACGGUUUUGCUGUCACUUAUAGAUGGAUCCGCGCCGCAUUAGCUAGUUGGUAAGGUAACGGCUUACCAAGGCAACGAUGCGUAGCCGACCUGAGAGGGUGAUGGCCCACACUGGAACUGAGACACGGCCCAGACCCCUACGGGAGGCAGCAGGAGGGAAUUUCCCGAAAUGGGCGAAAGCUUGCAGGAGCAACGCCGGGGGAGUGAAGAAGGUCUUCGGACCUUAAAACCCUGUUAUUAGGGAAAAACAAAUGUGUAAGUAACUAUGCACGUUUUGACGGUACUUAAUCAGAAAGCCACGGCUAACUACGU